RNAcentral lists this ribosomal RNA (262 nucleotides) under uncultured bacterium. RNAcentral describes it as "partial 16S ribosomal RNA". The record is from RNAcentral.
CUGCUGCCUCCCGUAGGAGUCUGGGCCGUGUCUCAGUCCCAGUGUGGCCGUCCGCCCUCUCAGGCCGGCUACUGAUCGUCGCUUUGGUAGGCCGUUACCCUGCCAACUGGCUAAUCAGACGCGGGCCCAUCCUGUACCACCGGAGUUUUCAGGGAAAAGCCAUGCGGCUUCCCCCGUUAUGCGGUAUUAGCACCUAUUUCCUAAGUGUUAUCCCCCUGUACAGGCCAGGUUGCCCACGCGUUACUCACCCGUCCGCCACUCA